GGAGGGGGCAAGCGUUGUUCGGAAUUACUGGGCGUAAAGGGCGCGUAGGCGGGAUAUCAAGUCAGGGGUGAAAGGCCUGGGCUCAACCUGGGAACUGCCUUUGAAACUGAUAUUCUGGAGUCCGGGAGAGGAUGGCGGAAUUCCCAGUGUAGAGGUGAAAUUCGUAGAUAUUGGGAAGAACACCGGUGGCGAAGGCGGCCAUCUGGACCGGUACUGACGCUAAGGCGCGAAAGCGUGGGGAGCAAACAGGAUUAGAUACCCUGGGUAGUCCACGCCGUAAACGAUGUGUGCUAGCCGUUGGGGGCUUUGAGCUUCGGUGGCGCAGCUAACGCGUUAAGCACACCGCCUGGGGAGUACGGCCGCAAGGUUA
This 370-nucleotide ribosomal RNA is filed under the name uncultured organism. RNAcentral describes it as "partial 16S ribosomal RNA". It matches the Rfam family "Bacterial small subunit ribosomal RNA", at positions 527 to 896 of the family's 1533-position model. The record is from RNAcentral.